GUGGGGAAUAUUCCGCAAUGGACGAAAGUCUGACGGAGCAACGCCGCGUGAGUGAUGAAGGUUUUCGGACUGUAAAGCUCUGUUGUUUAGGACGAAAGUGCCUGUUGCAAACAGUUACAGGUAUUGACGGUACUAAACGAGGAAGCCACGGCUAACUACGUGCCAGCAGCCGCGGUAAUACGUAGGUGGCAAGCGUUGUCCGGCAUUAUUGGGCGUAAAGAGCAUGUAGGCGGGAAUCUAAGUCUGUUGUGAAAAUGCGGGGCUCAACCCCGUAUUGCGAUGGAAACUGGGUUUCUUGAGUGCAGGAGAGGAAAGGGGAAUUCCCAGUGUAGCGGUGAAAUGCGUAGAUAUUGGGAGGAACACCAGUGGCGAAGGCGCCUUUCUGGACUGUGUCUGACGCUGAGAUGCGAAAGCCAGGGUAGCGAACGGGAUUAGAUACCCGAGUAGUCC
RNAcentral lists this ribosomal RNA (450 nucleotides) under uncultured bacterium. Its description in RNAcentral is "partial 16S ribosomal RNA". It matches the Rfam family "Bacterial small subunit ribosomal RNA", at positions 354 to 796 of the family's 1533-position model. The record is from RNAcentral.